Molecule: long non-coding RNA, 647 nt
Filed under: Heterocephalus glaber (naked mole-rat)
Lineage: Eukaryota; Metazoa; Chordata; Mammalia; Rodentia; Bathyergidae
Description: lncRNA (ENSHGLG00000033419.1)
Source: RNAcentral
GGAGUGGCAGGCACACCAGUGGGGUAAGGACCUGCAACUUAAACUAGUUCCAGAGUCCAGAAGUUCAGAAUCGGUAUCAUCACUGCGCAGAAGUCAGAUAUCAUCAGGCUCCAGGGGAGAAUCGUUUCCUCACCUUGCCCCCACCGGGCUUCCGGGGUCUGCGGCGGUUCAUCACUCCAGACAUCAAAGCCAGCAUCUUCAAAUCACUCUGCUCUGCCUUCAUGUUGCCUUCGCCUCUGUGUCACACCUCACUCUGCUUCUCUCUGACAAGGACACUGUGAUGCUACUUAGAUCCCACCUGGGGAUCUAAUCCAAUGGCAAAAAAGAUUCACUUAUCUGCUAGCUGCCCUUCCAGGCCUUGUGGAAUAGGAUCUGGAAGCAGAAUAGCAGUGUGAGAGAGAAGAGCGCAGCAGGGCUGAGGCCUGGUGAGAGCGCUCAUCCAAGGGACUCAGCAGCCCUGCUGGGCUUUAGGGGUGUGGGAUGGACACUUAGGACACUCACUGGAUGCUGUUCUAGGAGAGGGGUCAGCAAAUACAGACCACAGAGUGGCUGCCUGGUUUUGUAAAUAAAAGUCUCACUGGAAGACAGAUGUGCUGUUUGCUUCCAGACUGUGUCUAUGGUUUCUUUUGAGCAGAGUUGAAUAAACG